RNAcentral lists this transfer RNA (65 nucleotides) under Ruditapes decussatus. Its description in RNAcentral is "tRNA-Ala". Lineage: Eukaryota; Metazoa; Mollusca; Bivalvia; Venerida; Veneridae. The record is from RNAcentral.
GAAUUAGUACUUUAAGAAAAAGACCAGGUUUGCAUUUUGGAAUUGGUGCGCGUCGCCCUAAUUCG